This 497-nucleotide ribosomal RNA is filed under the name uncultured bacterium. RNAcentral's name for it is "partial 16S ribosomal RNA". It matches the Rfam family "Bacterial small subunit ribosomal RNA", at positions 28 to 507 of the family's 1533-position model. The record is from RNAcentral.
GAUGAACGCUGGCGGCGUGCCUAAUACAUGCAAGUCGAGCGAACAGAUAAGGAGCUUGCUCCUUUGACGUUAGCGGCGGACGGGUGAGUAACACGUGGGUAACCUACCUAUAAGACUGGGAUAACUUCGGGAAACCGGAGCUAAUACCGGAUAACAUUUGGAACCGCAUGGUUCUAAAGUGAAAGAUGGUUUUGCUAUCACUUAUAGAUGGACCCGCGCCGUAUUAGCUAGUUGGUAAGGUAACAGCUUACCAAGGCGACGAUACGUAGCCGACCUGAGAGGGUGAUCGGCCACACUGGAACUGAGACACGGUCCAGACUCCUACGGGAGGCAGCAGUAGGGAAUCUUCCGCAAUGGGCGAAAGCCUGACGGAGCAACGCCGCGUGAGUGAUGAAGGGUUUCGGCUCGUAAAACUCUGUUAUUAGGGAAGAACAAAUGUGUAAGUAACUGUGCACGUCUUGACGGUACCUAAUCAGAAAGCCACGGCUAACUACGUG